CCUACGGGAGGCAGCAGUGGGGAAUAUUGCGCAAUGGGCGAAAGCCUGACGCAGCGACGCCGCGUGAAGGAAGAAGGCUUUCGGGUUGUAAACUUCUUUUAAGGGGGAAGAGCAGAAGACGGUACCCCUUGAAUAAGCCACGGCUAACUACGUGCCAGCAGCCGCGGUAAUACGUAGGUGGCAAGCGUUGUCCGGAUUUACUGGGUGUAAAGGGCGUGCAGCCGGAGAGACAAGUCAGAUGUGAAAUCCACGGGCUCAACCCGUGAACUGCAUUUGAAACUGUUUCCCUUGAGUGUCGGAGAGGUAAUCGGAAUUCCUUGUGUAGCGGUGAAAUGCGUAGAUAUAAGGAAGAACACCAGUGGCGAAGGCGGAUUACUGGACGAUAACUGACGGUGAGGCGCGAAAGCGUGGGGAGCAAACAGGAUUAGAUACCCCUGUAGUC
Molecule: ribosomal RNA, 442 nt
Filed under: uncultured bacterium
Lineage: Bacteria
Description: partial 16S ribosomal RNA
Rfam family: Bacterial small subunit ribosomal RNA
Source: RNAcentral